This 346-nucleotide ribosomal RNA is filed under the name uncultured bacterium. RNAcentral's name for it is "bacterial SSU rRNA". It matches the Rfam family "Bacterial small subunit ribosomal RNA", at positions 150 to 490 of the family's 1533-position model. The record is from RNAcentral.
GGGGAAACUAACGUUAAUCCCGCAAAGACCUACGGGUGGAAACCGGGGAUCUUUCGGACCCUUGCGCGAUUGAAUGAGCCGAUGUCGGAUUAGCUAGUUGGCGGGGUAAGGGCCCACCAAGGCGACGAUCCGUAGCUGGUCUGAGAGGAUGAUCAGCCACACUGGAACUGAGACACGGUCCAGACUCCUACGGGAGGCAGCAGUGGGGAAUAUUGGACAAUGGGCGCAAGCCUGAUCCAGCCAUACCGCGUGGGUGAAGAAGGCCUUCGGGUUGUAAAGCCCUUUUGUUGGGAAAGAAAUCCAGCCGGCUAAUACCUGGUUGGGAUGACGGUACCCAAAGAAUAAG